Molecule: long non-coding RNA, 609 nt
Organism: Zonotrichia albicollis (white-throated sparrow)
Lineage: Eukaryota; Metazoa; Chordata; Aves; Passeriformes; Passerellidae
Source: Ensembl
CUGCUUACAAGCAGCACAAAGCUCCUAAGCGCGGUAGCCGUGAGGUCUGGCAGCGUUUUUGAAUCGCUGCUUUACGGGCAUGGUAUUUAUAAACAGACCAGAUAGUCAGACUUGUUUCGUGACCCUGCGCUAGUUACAGUAUUACUCUUGACACGGUUUGAGGCUUGCUGAGUUUCGGUUUGACACUCGGAGCCUCGGGGAGGGCCAGAGCUAAUGACACAAAUGCUGAACGUUUUUUAAUCUUUACUUGGAGCAGAGGAUGGGAAUGAGUUACAUUAUGCAGGCAGGCAUCCAGAACUGAGACUGUUUUCUUUGUGUUUGCAGCCCUUUUUUGACAAAUAGAGAUGCAAAAGGAGUACACUAGUCUUUCCCAAAGGAUAGAAUCAAAGUCCAUAAGGCUCUUCUUUGAGAUUGGCAUCGGUCCCAUGUCAGAUGUGUUCCCACAUCCAAGUAACACGUGGACCCAUUCUCACUUGGAAAAUGAGUUCCUGUAAUAUCAGCCUUAAGUCCUUCAGCCUACAAAUUGGAAGGCAGAUUUGCUAUGUCGGUGGUGAUAAGAAGGAAGCUGCAGGAACGUUAAGUAAAGGUAGUUGCUUGUUAAACUGGUAA